This 2084-nucleotide unclassified non-coding RNA is filed under the name Apis dorsata (giant honeybee). Its description in RNAcentral is "putative inorganic phosphate cotransporter, transcript variant X5". Lineage: Eukaryota; Metazoa; Arthropoda; Insecta; Hymenoptera; Apidae. The record is from RNAcentral.
GCUCGCUUCUGAUCACGGGAUCGUUGUUAAUCAUCGUUAUCGGUGUACCACGAAACCGUCAACCGAUUCAUAGCGACGAGAAACCGAUAUUAUUGUCGCACAGUGAGUGUUGGGUAACGCCCGGACAAGUAUUUUGGUAGAAUCAUCGCGGUAUCAUCUUUGUCGCCGUCGUCUUCUUUGUCGUCGUCAUCGUGCAAACUAAGAGCCUGGUGUUUGCCGAAAGAUUGCGCGCAACAGUGUUGAUUUUCCCCAACUACCAAUAAGAAGAACAUAGCGAACCACUCUAUAUCUCUGUGUUGAAAGCGGCACGCAAGUAUAUACUUAUACACAGUGUCUUCUCUCGCUUCGCGACAACCUAUUCGAAGCAGGGGAUCCUCCAAUCGGAAAUUGCAGAAACUUGGUAUUUGCUUCUAUCAUCUUCUUUAGCGUUCGUACUCGGGAUUCACGAACGAUUCACGAACGAACUAACGGAUAUAUCGUUUCCGUAUCGUGUCGCGUGUGCGUAGAGCGCGUGUCAAGCGUGCAAUGAACGGCAACGGCAGACCUCAUGGAGAGAACAGAGGACGAAAUGGCCACGUGCUUGUGUGGGAACAACCUGGCCUGGAGGAAGAGGAGUCACCUGCGCGAAUACGUAAAACAUUGGUGGGGUCGCGUCACAUAGUGACACUGAUGUUGUUCUUCGGUAUGGCGAACGCUUAUGUGAUGAGAACGAAUAUGUCCGUGGCGAUCGUCGCAAUGGUCAAUCACACCUCCAUCACGGAGAGCAAGGAACCUGUGUUGAACGAGUGCAAGCACGAGAACAAUGCGAACAAUGAUUCUUCUUCCUUCAGCUUAGCCAACCAUGACGGAGAGUUUCAUUGGGACAGCACCAUGCAGGGUUACUUGCUCAGCUCGUUCUUCUACGGUUACGUCAUCACGCAAAUACCAUUCGGAAUACUCGCGAAACGUUACGGAUCGAAAUACUUUCUUGGCAUCGGUAUGCUGAUCAAUUCGAUGUUUGGACUGCUGGUCCCUGUGUCCGCACGUGCCGGUUACCAUUGGCUGAUGAUCGUUCGAUUUAUUCAAGGUUUGGGCGAGGGUCCUAUUGUGCCUUGCACACACGCGAUGCUGGCCAAGUGGAUACCGCCUAAUGAACGUAGUAGAAUGGGAGCCUUCGUAUACGCUGGCGCUCAGUUCGGUACUGUUAUUUCAAUGCCUUUGAGCGGUGUCCUGUCACGGCAUGGAUUCGAUGGCGGCUGGCCCUCCAUCUUUUACGUAUUCGGCGCCGUUGGCACCAUCUGGUGUAUAGCAUUUCUACUCAUGAUCUACGAGGACCCGGAAAGCCAUCCUCGUAUAGCCGAAGACGAGAAGAAGUACAUCCUGAGUGCCUUGUGGGGCAACGCCGGGGCCUCUUCUCCACCAGUGCCAUGGUUUUCGAUCGUUACAUCGUUACCGUUCUGGGCCAUCCUUAUAGCGCACAUGGGUCAAAAUUACGGAUACGAAACGUUGAUGACCGAGCUACCGACAUUCAUGAAACAAAUCUUGAACUUCGACAUCGAAUCGGUAAAUAAGAGGAUGGGAAGAAAACGGCACCGUUUCCGCCCUUCCUUACCUAGCCAUGUGGAUAUUCUCGAUGUUGAUCUCUCACGUGGCCGACUGGAUGAUCUCCAGCGGAAAAUUCAAUCACACUUUCACGCGAAAAAUCGUGAACAGUAUAGGUCAGUUCGGGCCAGCGAUCGCCCUAGCUGCCGCCUCCUAUACAGGAUGCACUUCCUGGUUGACGGUCACCAUUCUCACGAUCGGCGUAGGGUUAAACGGUGGUAUUUAUUCCGGAUUCAAAGUAAAUCAUUUAGAUAUCUCGCCGAGAUUUGCCGGCAUAUUGAUGUCGUUUACCAAUUGCUUGGCUAACUUGGCCGGUUUAUUGGCCCCUAUCACGGCCGGAUACAUAAUCGUUGGACCGCCAACUCAUGCCAAAUGGAGGCUCGUCUUCAUGAUCUCGGCCGGCGUUUACAUCGCCUGUGCCACGUUUUACGUGAUAUUCGGCUCGGGACAACGGCAACCGUGGGACAAUCCUGACAAGGACGAAGAGAGGCAACACGAGAAAC